GACGAACGCUGGCGGCGUGCCUAAUACAUGCAAGUAGAACGCACAGUUUAUACCGUAGCUUGCUACACCAUAGACUGUGAGUUGCGAACGGGUGAGUAACGCGUAGGUAACCUGCCUGGUAGCGGGGGAUAACUAUUGGAAACGAUAGCUAAUACCGCAUAAUAUUAAUUAUUGCAUGAUAAUUAAUUGAAAGGUGCAAUUGCACCACUACCAGAUGGACCUGCGUUGUAUUAGCUAGUAGGUGAGGUAACGGCUCACCUAGGCGACGAUACAUAGCCGACCUGAGAGGGUAAGCGGCCACACUGGGACUGAGACACGGCCCAUACUCCUACGGGAGGCAGCAGUAGGGAAUCUUCGGCAAUGGACGAAAGUCUGACCGAGCAACGCCGCGUGAGUGAAGAAGGUUUUCGGAUCGUAAAGCUCUGUUGUAAGAGAAGAACGGGUGUGAGAGUGGAAAGUUCACACUGUGACGGUAUCUUACCAGAAAGGGACGGCUAACUACGUG
Molecule: ribosomal RNA, 505 nt
Filed under: uncultured bacterium
Lineage: Bacteria
Description: partial 16S ribosomal RNA
Rfam family: Bacterial small subunit ribosomal RNA
Source: RNAcentral